CGUCCGGGAGCGCGCUCUGUUCGUGCUCCGCGAGAGGGCGGAGCGGGACGGCGCUGCGCGGGGAUGAGCCAGCGAUCGCGCUCGAUCUGGCGCGCCGGCCGCUCGAAACCCGACCUUCCGAUGCCCAUAUUCGGAGGAGCCCGGCGGCUUCCCGACCGCCCUGGCUCGGACCCGGAAUGGCGCUUCCCAAGCAACUCGUCGAUAUCGACACGAUCUAUCUCGAGCCCGCGGUGCGCGACUACCCGCGUGGCCGAGAGAUCCUGGGGCGAUUUUCCGAGGCGCGUCUGAUCGAGGUGGAGUCGCACUGGCGCAUCCCAGAGCUGCACGGCAA
This 331-nucleotide unclassified non-coding RNA is filed under the name plant metagenome. RNAcentral's name for it is "partial contains 5.8S ribosomal RNA, internal transcribed spacer 2, and large subunit ribosomal RNA". The record is from RNAcentral.